UACAUUUUAGUAUAUGAUGUACAAAAGUUUUUGAUUCUUUAGGUAAUAGUCCGAUUCUAUUAAAUGUAA
This 69-nucleotide transfer RNA is filed under the name Dytiscus sharpi. RNAcentral describes it as "tRNA-Gln". It matches the Rfam family "tRNA". From Rfam's summary of the family: Transfer RNA (tRNA) molecules are approximately 80 nucleotides in length. Their secondary structure includes four short double-helical elements and three loops (D, anti-codon, and T loops). The record is from RNAcentral. Lineage: Eukaryota; Metazoa; Arthropoda; Insecta; Coleoptera; Dytiscidae.